AUUUAAAUAGCUUAAAUUUAAAGCGUAACAUUGAAGCUGUUAAAAUGAAUUUUAAUUCUUUAAAUA
Molecule: transfer RNA, 66 nt
Filed under: Ditaxis biseriata
Lineage: Eukaryota; Metazoa; Arthropoda; Insecta; Neuroptera; Mantispidae
Description: tRNA-Phe
Rfam family: tRNA
About the family: Transfer RNA (tRNA) molecules are approximately 80 nucleotides in length. Their secondary structure includes four short double-helical elements and three loops (D, anti-codon, and T loops). Further hydrogen bonds mediate the characteristic L-shaped molecular structure. tRNAs have two regions of fundamental functional importance: the anti-codon, which is responsible for specific mRNA codon recognition, and the 3' end, to which the tRNAs corresponding amino acid is attached (by aminoacyl-tRNA synthetases). tRNAs cope with the degeneracy of the genetic code in two manners: having more than one tRNA (with a specific anti-codon) for a particular amino acid; and 'wobble' base-pairing, i.e. permitting non-standard base-pairing at the 3rd anti-codon position.
Source: RNAcentral